This is a long non-coding RNA of Helianthus annuus (common sunflower), 2934 nucleotides long. RefSeq lists it as uncharacterized. The record is from RefSeq and is a predicted model, not a curated record. The transcript is spliced from 8 exons. Lineage: Eukaryota; Viridiplantae; Streptophyta; Magnoliopsida; Asterales; Asteraceae.
UAUAUGACCGAUCAUUCUCUUCCAAAGCUAUGAAACAUUCUCUCUCUUUUCUCAUCCAAACCUCCGGCUCCCACAGUAUCCUGAAUCAGGGUUAACAUUUCCGGUCACGGUUAGGGCUCCAGCGAUUGUUAGGGGUUUUGUGCAGAUGAAUCCCGCGACAAGGUACUUCCUGCGAAUCGUUCAUUUGAUUAACGCUGUUGUGCAAAACCGAAGAACCUGCGAACUCUUCAGAUUUCGUCUCAUCCAGGAUUCCGAGAAGUGACAGCAGAUGAUCGAACAAAAUAGGUUCUUUCAUAUAACCUCAUUGAUCAUUUUAUUCAAAAGUUUAAAUAUUAUUGAAAUAAUAUGCUAAUUAUACCUGCCACACUAAUUAUUUAUAAAAAGUUGGACGAUCAGUUUUUGUGGGCCUAUUUGAAUCUGUAAAAAAGGACACAUUUUGACCCGUUACCCAUAUUGUCUCACUCAUCAUCGCUCAAAAUCGAACAUCUGAAUGUCAAUUUCAAAGGUACGGUUACUCAAUUGUUUCAUCACUUAUGUUGAUUUUGUUGUGUUUUUGUUUUUGUUUAUGCUCCAACUAAACCCCUGUCAAUGUAAACCCAGGCGGCACAGACUUUAGAGAAUAGUCCAAUGUUGAUGAUGGGUUGUUUCCAAGGCUAAACGACUCAAUAAGAGUAGGCGUACCCUAAUUCACUUUCAACCAUUCAAACUUUAAUUAAUGCUGCGGUAUCACGUAAUGGUCGCAAUGUAGCCUUGGUUAUUCGCCUUCAUUUUCAUGAUUGUUUCGUUCAGGUUAUGAUCUUUAUUCCAUUCCAUUAUGCUUUUUUUUGGUGAACUGUAAGGUUUUUUUCUAGGCUUCUAAUCUAAUCUAUAUUUGAUGCAAUCAGAGUGACAUCGGUAAUCAUGUUUGUUUGGUUAAGAUCUGCCCAUUGCGUAACAAUGUCCGUUUGGUUGUUAGGGUUUAGAUUUCUUUAUAUGAUUCUGGUGUUUUGAAAUCAGUUUGUUUUUCUUAAAUUUACUUUGUUUUUUCUGUGAAUCCAAUACCAGAUUGUGUAAAUACGACUGAAAUGUGUUGGGUGUGAAAAGUGUCGUCUGUAGGGAAACCGCACUCAAAAUCUUGUUCUCUGCUGACGGUCAAAAUGAUCGAGAUCAGCCUUUGCAAAGGAUUGAAGUAAUAUCAUUGAUGAAUCUGCUCAAUCGUCUCUCGGAAUCACUUAAAUCACUGAUAUGGCUUCAUCUGAUUUCAUGAAAUUAAGAGGGCUUCAAAUGCGCUCAUUGGGGCAUGUGAAUAUCAAUAGGCAACGAACCACCUACACAAGAGCUUGUGGCCAGGGAUUUACAUGACCAUGUAUGGACGUUUUGCCAUAUUUAUUGUGGGUAACCUAAGCAUCACUUGCUCACAACUAGCCGGAGUCUCUUUGUUAAUGGGAAGAGGCUUUUGCAGGAGACUCGGUCUUGUUAAUUAUACUCCUCUGCAGUCAAACGUGCUAGAACCGAUGGUAUGUUCACAUGAUAACCUUUUUUUCUUUUUCCAGCUACCCUUUUACCUGUACACCAUUUAAUUGAUCUAUCUUCUUAUGAAUUUACUUGAAAAUUUGUGUUUGGCUACAUGUCAUUAUGUGCUAUCUGGUGCGUUGGUGUUUUAAUACAAUUAAAAGUGGUAAUUUUGACUCCUUAUCUUAGAAAGGUUUGAUCUCUGCCUCAGGGCAGUUGGGUGUCAUAAUCUAUUACACUUAAUUCAACUGUAAUGUUCACUUGGUUUUCUUGUGUGAUUCAGUCUUAUUUUGAGAGGUUGGCAAGACAAGAUUUAAUUUCAUGUUUGGUGUUUAGUUUUGAAUUUAUUUUUCUCUAAUUUCAGGUCAUAUAUAUUCUGAAAGAUAUCCUUAGUUGAUACUUGUAAAGCAUUAAUUAUCUAUAUGAAAAGUUCUCAAUACACAUUUUCAAAGGCUCCAAUACAUCUACAGAAAUGACAUCUAUUUUGGAGAUUUAAUUCCCUUGUUUUGUUAAAAUUUUCUCUUAUAUUUUAUAUUAUAAUAAUAGAGUAUGGAAUGAUAGGUUUUGUUUUUGUUGGAGAUAUUUUAUGGCUGGACAUGUCCGAGCUGUGGGAAUGUCAAUUUUUCAUUUAGGCCAAGUUGCAAUAUGCGUAAUUGUACGCAACCUCGACCAGCUGAUCAUAAUUCAUUGUGAACUGUAGUAAGCUAGGUACAUCUAUUGAUCAGAUAUGUUUGUUGUGAUCUUCUAGCUAACUUUGAUGAAGCUUGUUUAUUAUAAUUGUCCAAGUAAGAAGUAAGUAUUGAUGUGGGUGUACCCCCACCCUAUGCAACAUCUUAUGAUGGUCCAUUAUCUGGUCCUGGUGCUUCUGCUUAUCAUUACUACAACAACCGCCUUGCUGGAGGGACCGCCUAUCGACCGCUGCAACUUUCCGCCACACCCCCUUAUUCUGCUGGCCCCAUCAUUGGUAAUGAACUGGAUGCCACGAGGGAGAAAAAUGGCAUAUAUAUACACCACAUGAUCGUUACCUGAGUGAAGAAGCUGCCAAGAAGUUGGCUACUCUCAACUGUUACACCAAAUUAGAACUUGCUGUGUUUUUGGAUGUGUCUUUAGGUAGGAUCCAUCUGAAGUAAUGCAUAGCCACAUUGUGAUGGUCCUUGCAAACCUGAUAAGACAUAUAUCUCUAUCUACAUGCUAAAAGUAUUGUUUAUUUUUAUUUGGAAGUUAUAAUUAUUGGUUACGGAUCUGGCCAACAGAAAUAUUUUUACCAUGUUGCGGUUUCAACAAAUAGAACGACAACAUUACAAGUUCUAAAUUGUCCAAAUCGUCCUUCUCAACUGUUACGCCAAGUUUUAGAUGCUACCUUACAUGUAUGUCCUCUGUACUCCCAUCAAAUUAUAUACGUAUUCGCCAUUUAUUAUGCUAUUCUUUAAUUCCUUUUGUUUA